GGUCCAUACACUAUUGGAGAAGGGUCCAUACACUAUUGGAGAAGUGUCCAUACACUAUUGGAGAAGGUUCCAGACACUAUUGGAGAAGGGUUCAGACACUAUUGGAGAAGUGUACGUACACUAUUGGAGAAGGUUCCAGACACUAUUGGAGAAUGUGUCAUGGUUCUGCCUUCUCUCUGCUGCUGCUGCUAUUUUCCCUUCAUUGUUUGCAGGUGAGCAUGUUGGGGAGCAGCAGCUGCAGCUAAUUACCAUCAGCCUGGCCAGAGGAUUUAAGGAGUGGUGCUGCCACACCUCAUUGCCGGUUGAUUACUGUUGGCCCUGUAUUCCCUCCACCCGCCUGAGGUGUGCUUUAUCACAGCGUCGUUCAGCUUCCCUGGCCUCCUGCUCUCCACCGCUCACCUGCCUUCCUGGAUCCAGCAUCUCCUCCAGCGACCAUCUCCUCCCUGCAUCAACCUGACUUGCCUCUCCCUCCUGCCCCUCGUCCUGCUCAACUCAAGUCGGAGUUGCCUCGUUUCCUGUCCCGUUUGGAUCAGCGCCCUUAGUUUUCCCUUUGUUGUUUUUUUCUAAAAUAA
Long non-coding RNA from Nothobranchius furzeri (turquoise killifish), 572 nucleotides. RefSeq lists it as uncharacterized. The record is from RefSeq and is a predicted model, not a curated record. Lineage: Eukaryota; Metazoa; Chordata; Actinopteri; Cyprinodontiformes; Nothobranchiidae.